UUAAGAUACCACGUUUUGUAACAAUUGCUAAAAAGGGCUCCAAAUAAGUAUUGAAAAAUUAUUACGCUGUACUCCCAGGAAAUAUGCAAAUCAUAGGCUGUAGGCAUUAUACUUUGGUCACACUUUAUAUUAGGUGGCCUUAACUAUAUACUUAUUCUGGUCAUUGUAUUGCAAAACACUUGCUGCUAUUGAGGUGGGAUAUGGGUAAGUUUAGGGACAGAUUUGGUAGUAUGGGUAGGUUUAAGGGUGGGGUAAGGUGAAUGGGUCAACAGUGUAAUUUAAUUGCAGAAAUUAAUUGGAUGUAAUAUGUAUUCUCAAAAAUAUGUAAAAACAUGUACACUAAGUGCAUUUGUAUCAAAUGAUUAAUUUAAAUGUAAGUACAUAGUUAAGGCAAUCUAAUAUAAAGUGGGACCUAUACUUUUAUGUAACUGGUAAGAGGGAGAAUGUUCUGCCAAAACAAGCAUUUCCUCAGCUGACCAUAAUAGCAUGCAGUGUAGCCAACUUGGCAAUUUUGUUGCUAAAUUUAGCAACUUUUCAGACUACCCUAGCAACUUUUUCUUCCAAAAGCACCUAGCAACAAAUUUAGCUAUUUUUACAAUUUGGCAACUUUUGAUAAGUGACUCAAACGAUAAAAAGGCACACAUUUUAUAUCUAAAUUACACAAAAAGAGGAAACCGAAGAUGCCUAGCAGUACACACACAUGAAUUAAGUUAGUUGCUAUUUGCAAUUGUUCAAUUUAAUAAUAAUUGAAUAACUGUUCAUUUAUGAUACAACUUGUUAGCUUGUACCUGCAACUGUUGAUCAGUUAGUACGCUGUAAGAAAAAUAUCUAGAAAAAUGGAAAAGGUACUAAUAAUUUUCCAGGACAUUAUCCGUUGUAAUCCUGCAUCCCGAAAACACAAAAUGUACAAUGCUUAACUUAAAAUGCAGGUCAAAAACCUGUGAAAAAUCAAUACGGAAGAUUUCUUCAUAUUAACGUAGUAGAUUGUGCCCUAUUUUUACAGACUUUUCUUACAGUGUAGAAUACUAACUACUAAUACACUGCUUAACUAUAAUGGUUCAGAAUGUAUAGUUUUACUAACUUACUAGCUAACAAAAAAACCUUAAAUUGUUCAAAAAUGUGUAAGUUUUUUUUCAAUAAUUCAGUUGUAUUUAAAAAGACAGUUAUUUAUAUUUUAAUUAUGCAUUUAUAUUAAUUUACGAACAAAUUUAAAUCAACAUUUAUAAACUAUUUUUGAUGAGAUUUGAUACAGUGACAAUUUUGCGUCGUGAUUACGUAAUGACGUCAUCGCGUAAUGACGUCACAACAUCAUUUAGCAACAAAUUGACCUUCCUUUAGCAUCUUCCCCUGAAAAUUAGUUGGCAACACUGAUAGCACGUUUCUAAUAGAUUCCUGUUUGACGCGCAUGCGCAUUUAUGCAGCGAAAUUCAGCGUAGGCUCGCGUGCUGUCGGGGCGAGCGCCUUUUCUCCCCAUUUUAAAAUGGAAUUACUCGCAUGAAUUUCUCACUAUUUACAGAAGAGGAUAUGACCGUAAAAUGCUAUGAAGAGCAAGCUCCAGAUUGGCGCCACCUCCUGGUAGAACACUGGAGGCACUCAGGUCAAGAAGAUUCUCCACUGAGGUUUCCAUAGCAACUCCUCCCUGAUUGGUUCCUCUGGACACACCUCAUGCUCUCUUCCUAUUAUCAGAUCUGGCAGCUCAGCUUGGAACUCUGGGCCUAUAUUUAUGCACCUUGGGUGUGAAUGUGAC
This is a long non-coding RNA of Onychostoma macrolepis, 1747 nucleotides long. RefSeq lists it as uncharacterized. The transcript is spliced from 3 exons. NCBI's taxonomy places the organism in Eukaryota, Metazoa, Chordata, Actinopteri, Cypriniformes, Cyprinidae. The record is from RefSeq and is a predicted model, not a curated record.